Molecule: ribosomal RNA, 301 nt
Filed under: uncultured bacterium
Lineage: Bacteria
Description: partial 16S ribosomal RNA
Rfam family: Bacterial small subunit ribosomal RNA
Source: RNAcentral
CAGCAGCCGCGGUAAUACGUAGGUGGCAAGCGUUGUCCGGAAUUAUUGGGCGUAAAGGGCUCGCAGGCGGUUUCUUAAGUCUGAUGUGAAAGCCCCCGGCUCAACCGGGGAGGGUCAUUGGAAACUGGGAAACUUGAGUGCAGAAGAGGAGAGUGGAAUUCCACGUGUAGCGGUGAAAUGCGUAGAGGUGUGGAGGAACACCAGUGGCGAAGGCGACUCUCUGGUCUGUAACUGACGCUGAGGAGCGAAAGCGUGGGGAGCGAACAGGAUUAGAUACCCGUGUAGUCCCUGUCUCUUAUAC